UUAGACCGUCGUGAGACGUUAGUUUUACCCUACUGAUGACCGUCACCGCAAUGGUAAUUGAGCUUAGUACGAGAGGAACCGCUCAUUCAGAUAAUUGGUUUUUGCGGCUGUCUGACAAGGCAGUGCCGCGAAGCUACCAUCUGCUGGAUAAUAGCUGAACGCCUCUAAGUUAGAAUCCAUGCCGGAAGGAAAGCUCCCCACCGGCCCGGGCACGCCACGAGCAACGGUAGCACUGCCUGAGCCGCGCGCGACCACAAUUUCCGCGCCCGGGCCGACGAAUCCCUUGCAGACGACUUGAAUAAGGAACGGGGUAUUGUACGCGGCAGAGUGGCCUUGUUGCCACGAUCCGCUGAGAUUCAGCCUUGGUUCUGAAGAUUU
This 378-nucleotide ribosomal RNA is filed under the name Oxyrrhis marina. RNAcentral's name for it is "partial Eukaryotic large subunit ribosomal RNA". It matches the Rfam family "Eukaryotic large subunit ribosomal RNA", at positions 2963 to 3399 of the family's 3401-position model. Lineage: Eukaryota; Dinophyceae; Oxyrrhinales; Oxyrrhinaceae. The record is from RNAcentral.